CAUUGCUUUGCAGAUCCAACUUUUGUCUUUGCUCAAAUUUCUUCCCUCACAAAGGUCUCAUGAUUUUCCAGGGAUAUGCAUAGAUUCUGAGUACACACAGCCAACAACACAUCAUACUUCUGAAGCGGUAUUCCUUCUGGACUCCUCUGCCUCUAAUGAUGCUACAUAGUCUUCAGCAUGUAUAAAAUUUAUGUGAUGUUUGGAUAAUGAAGUAAGGAUCACCACCAGUGGGGGCGGAGUCAAGAUGGCGGCUUAGCAAGCAGCAAAAGUUCAGACCUUGUGGAAGACCCUUCCUAAACCGAUACAGAUUGAAUGCUCCUAGGGCACCGAAAUUCAAGCUGAACAACAGGACAGAAGCGGGGAAUCCUCCUUCUGGACUCAAAUCAAAAGGCCAGUACAAAGGGAUGCUCUUCUCUAAAUGGAUCUAUGGAAGUGAAACAGUUUAUAUCAUGGCUAUACCCUAUCAGUUAUACCCAUAUUCCUGGAAGUGGGAAGGAAGACAUCAAUGA
Molecule: long non-coding RNA, 509 nt
Filed under: Monodelphis domestica (gray short-tailed opossum)
Lineage: Eukaryota; Metazoa; Chordata; Mammalia; Didelphimorphia; Didelphidae
Description: lncRNA (ENSMODG00000037269.1)
Source: RNAcentral